This 407-nucleotide ribosomal RNA is filed under the name Verrucomicrobiota bacterium. RNAcentral's name for it is "Verrucomicrobia bacterium partial 16S ribosomal RNA". It matches the Rfam family "Bacterial small subunit ribosomal RNA", at positions 355 to 776 of the family's 1533-position model. The record is from RNAcentral. Lineage: Bacteria; Pseudomonadati; Verrucomicrobiota.
UGGGGAAUAUUGGGCAAUGGGCGAAAGCCUGACCCAGCAACGCCGCGUGAAGUAUGAAGGCCUUCGGGUUGUAAACUUCUUUGAUCAGGGAAGAAACAAAUGACGGUACCUGAAAAACAAGCCACGGCUAACUACGUGCCAGCAGCCGCGGUAAUACGUAGGUGGCGAGCGUUAUCCGGAUUUACUGGGUGUAAAGGGCGUGCAGGCGGGCUGAUAAGUCAGAUGUGAAAUCCCCGAGCUUAACUCGGGAACUGCAUCUGAUACUGUUGGUCUUGAGUGCUGGAGAGGAUAGUGGAAUUCCUAGUGUAGCGGUAAAAUGGGCAGAUAUUAGGAGGAACACCAGUGGCGAAGGCGGCUAUCUGGACAGUAACUGACGCUGAGGCGCGAAAGCGUGGGUAGCAAACAGG